RNAcentral lists this ribosomal RNA (497 nucleotides) under uncultured bacterium. RNAcentral describes it as "partial 16S ribosomal RNA". It matches the Rfam family "Bacterial small subunit ribosomal RNA", at positions 28 to 507 of the family's 1533-position model. The record is from RNAcentral.
GAUGAACGCUGGCGGCGUGCCUAAUACAUGCAAGUCGAGCGAACAAACGAGGAGUUCUCCCCGCUGCCGCGAGCGACGGACGGGUAAUUCCCACGAAGCUACCCUACCUAUAAGGCUGACGUACGUUAAGGAGCGCGGAUACAGUAUAGGUUCAUAUGGUGAACGUCAGGGAUCAUUAGUGAACGACGUUUUUGCUGAGCCUUAGACAUAGUAGCGCGCCGCAUUAGCUAGUUGGUAAGGUAACGGCUUACCAAGGCUACGAUGCGUAGCCGACCUGAGAGGGUGAUCGGCCACACUGGAACUGAGACACGGUCCAGACUCCUACGGGAGGCAGCAGUAGGGAAUCUUCCGCAAUGGGCGAAAGCCUGACGGAGCAACGCCGCGUGAGUGAUGAAGGUCUUCGGAUCGUAAAGCUCUGUUAGUAGGGAAGAACAAAUGUGUAAGUAACUAUGCACGUCUUGACGGUACCUAAACAGAAAGCCACGGCUAACUACGUG